This 455-nucleotide ribosomal RNA is filed under the name Ridgeia piscesae. Its description in RNAcentral is "partial 16S ribosomal RNA". It matches the Rfam family "Bacterial large subunit ribosomal RNA", at positions 1859 to 2574 of the family's 2925-position model. The record is from RNAcentral. Lineage: Eukaryota; Metazoa; Annelida; Polychaeta; Sabellida; Siboglinidae.
CUGCCCAAUGACUUUAGUUCCAUGGCCGCGGUACCCUGACCGUGCCAAGGUAGCAUAAUCACUUGCCCCUUAAUUAGGGGCUGGCAUGAAUGGACACACGAAAGCUUAACUGUCUCAUAAUAACUAAUAAAAAUUAAUCUUUAAGUGAAAAAGCUUAAAUUCCAUUGCAGGACAAGAAGACCCCGUUGAGCUUUAUUCUCUAUAGACCACCACUAAUAUUUACUAUAUCAUAAACCUAAAAAAGAAUUUAGUUGGGGUGACUAAGGAACAUCAAAAUCUUCCUUUUAUUAACCAGGGCUAUUACCCAAAACAAUUGACCCAUAACCAUGAACAAAAAAAUAAGCUACCACAGGGAUAACAGGCUAAUCUUUCUCAAGAGCCCAAAUUGUCAGAAAGGAUUGGCACCUCGAUGUUGGCUUAGGGGCCCCUAAUAGUGCAGAAGCUAUUAAUGGUAG